GCGUUCCUUCGGGGCAGGGUGAAAUUCCCGACCGGCGGUAGCUUGUGUUCGUACAAGAAGCCCGCGACCCGUUUCGCCUGUUGAAUUCGGUGCUGUAAUAAAUGACGGCAUCUUACAGGCGAGUCGCAGUGAUGCUGUUUGUUACUGCGCCGGUGGAUCUGGUUCAAAGCCAGAGCCGACAGUAGAGUCUGGAUGGAAGAAGGAGAAU
RNAcentral lists this non-coding RNA (208 nucleotides) under Chloroflexota bacterium. RNAcentral describes it as "Chloroflexi bacterium FMN sequence". It matches the Rfam family "FMN riboswitch aptamer (RFN element)". Rfam says of the family: The RFN element is a highly conserved domain that is found frequently in the 5'-untranslated regions of prokaryotic mRNAs that encode for flavin mononucleotide (FMN) biosynthesis and transport proteins. This element is a metabolite-dependent riboswitch that directly binds FMN in the absence of proteins. In Bacillus subtilis, the riboswitch most likely controls gene expression by causing premature transcription termination within the 5' untranslated region of the ribDEAHT operon and precluding access to the ribosome-binding site of ypaA mRNA. The record is from RNAcentral. Lineage: Bacteria; Bacillati; Chloroflexota.